CACUUGGGGCGGUCUUAUCUUGCAGUCGAGCGGAUGGAUUAAGAGCUUGCUCUUAUGAGGUUAGCGGGGGAGGGAUGAGUAACACGUGGGUAACCUGCCCAUAAGACUGGGAUAACUCCGGGAAACCGGGGCUAAUACCGGAUAACAUUUUGAACCGCAUGGUUCGAAAUUGAAAGGCGGCUUCGGGUGUCACUUAUGGAUGGACCCGCGUCGCAUUAGCUGGUUGGUGAGGUAACGGCUCACCAAUGGAACGAUGCGACGCCGACCUGACAGGGUGAUCAGCCACACUGGGACUGAUACACGGCCCAGACUCCUACGGGAGGCAACAAUGGGGAAUCUUCCGCAAUGGACGAAAGUCUGACGGAUUUCGCCCCGUGAAUGAUGAAGGCUUUCGGGUCGUAAAACUCUGUUGUUUUCUAAGAACAAGUGCUAGUUGAAUAACUGGCACCUUGACGGUACCUAACCACAAAGCCACGGCUAACUACAUGCCAACAUCCGCGGUAAUACGUAGGUGGCAAGCGUUAUCCGGAAUUAUUGGGCUUAAAGCGCGCGCAGGUGGUUUCUUAGAUCUGAUGUGAAAGCCCACGGCUCAGCCGUGAAGGGUCUUUGGAAACUGGAAGACUUGAGUGCAGAAGAGGAUAGUGGAAUUCCAUGUGUACCGAUGAAAUGCAUAGAGAUAUGGAGGAACACCUGUGGCCAGGCGACUUUUCUGCUCUGUAACUGACACUGAAGCGCUAAAGCGUGAUGAGCAUACAGGAUGCACACCCUGGUUGUCCACUCCGUUCUGCGAAGAACGCUAAGUGUAAGAGGGUUUCCACCCUUUAAUGCUGACGUUCACGCAUUAAGCACUCCGCCUGGGGAAUUACGAGCACAACGCUGAAACUUCACAAGAAUCUGGAGGGUGGCGCGCGCUAGCUGUGGAGAAUGUGGUUUUACUCUUAAGCUGCGCCGACAACCAUUAGCCUGGUCUUGACGUCCUCUGAAAAACCCUUAGGAUA
RNAcentral lists this ribosomal RNA (998 nucleotides) under Bacillus cereus. RNAcentral's name for it is "bacterial SSU rRNA". It matches the Rfam family "Bacterial small subunit ribosomal RNA", at positions 34 to 1006 of the family's 1533-position model. The record is from RNAcentral. Lineage: Bacteria; Bacillati; Bacillota; Bacilli; Caryophanales; Bacillaceae.